AAAAGAUAUCCAGGCUCUAAUGGAAGAAACUGCAGUCCUGUCUUUAGAAAACAAAUCGGAGCUUCUGCUGGCUGACUACUUUGAAGAAGAUCCAAAGAACCCAAUGGACAAAGAGCGACGGAAGUCUUUAAUAAAACCCAAACUGUGGAGACUGCAGAAAGACAUUGAAAAGGCCUCAAGAGACAAAGAAGGACAGACCACAAGACAGCCACACACCUGUGGUCCAGCGCUGUCCAGCAUCUGAGUGUGGACCGCGGGAUUUCAUGUUGAUGGAACUCGGAUGGGAGAGGCCUGGAACAGAAGCUUAAAGCACUUGCCAGCAGUGCCUCCUUUUCUGAUGCUAAGAGCCAGAAAGAUGCAGAGACGCUAAUGGACGAG
Molecule: long non-coding RNA, 378 nt
Filed under: Rattus norvegicus (Norway rat)
Lineage: Eukaryota; Metazoa; Chordata; Mammalia; Rodentia; Muridae
Description: long non-coding RNA NONRATT018213
Source: RNAcentral